Molecule: long non-coding RNA, 1416 nt
Organism: Solea solea (common sole)
Lineage: Eukaryota; Metazoa; Chordata; Actinopteri; Pleuronectiformes; Soleidae
Exons: 3
Source: RefSeq, a predicted model, not a curated record
UUGAAGGCGAGGCGGCAAACAGAGGCGAGGAGAGCCGAGUGAGGAGGUAAGAGUGACGGGGAGGUUUGUGGAGCAAACUGCGCUGCGCUCUGCAGGGAGGCGAAACAAAAGCGAAGAUUAAAAGUGGAGAAACUGAAGGCCUUAAUGCUCCCAGAGGAGCGGGGGAGGAGGAGGAGGAGGCGGAGGAGGCGGAGAGGAGACACACCCGAGAGCCACUUUCACACGUCUGACCUUUGACCUGUGAGCUGAUAAUCCUAUGGAGCUUGUUCAAGAUGCAGAGACACGCUCAGAAAACAGAGGUCCCGAAAUCCGCAGAUGCCUCAGCCGCUCAUCAUUAUAAUGCAUCGUCCUCACACACAAGGUAAAUCAUCAUGAGCCACAAACCUUCUCAGGAGCAGGUGAAAGCCUGAGUUUAUACUAUUUUUGUUCCUGAAACACAGUUUUAUGCUGUUCAUUAUUUGUCUUUGUCCAAAUAAUGAAUAAAUACAUUUGCAUGGGAAAAAAAAGAAAGAAAAUAAUGUGGGCAGGUAUGAUCACUCAUAUUACUAGUUGUGUUUAUAUUUAUUAAUUUCCCAAAUAAAUCCUACAUGAUAUAAAUCAUUUACAGAUACAAAUAGUUUUUAUAAACAGCCAAUCAAAUCGCUGGAAAACCAGAGUCAUCACCCUAUGGAUCUUUUGUUAAAAUUCUUCUACUUGUUAUAUUCUUCUAUUUAUGUUAUAUCAUUGUACCUCAGCAUUAUUUCUAUCCUAUUCCUAUGUGGACUUCAGAGUAAAUACCAAAACACUGCGGUACCUCUACAUGACACAUGCCCUCACCCCUCUGCUACUCUGUGCCUUGUCAUAAUCAUCCUGCCUAACAUCCAGACUUUCUCCUCUUGGUAUUUUCUACAAUACACCAACCUUUUACAGCUUUUACCUAUAGCACAAUGUUGCUGUUGUGUUUUUUUUUUUUUUAAACGUCUGAGAAGCAGAAUUGUGUGGCACUGAUCGGCUUAAUCAGCAUGGUGUGAACUCCUUUACGGCAGAAGAGGCAGGGGGUCAGCAUGUAUCUUUAACAGUUUUCAAUUAGAGGAACAUUUGCAGAAAACUAAAAUCAGUGAGCUGAUAAGAUUUAAAACAUGAACGGCUGAAAUCGACCAAACACCGACACAGGGGGAGCCAAGAACAAGAAAGAAGAGAAAAGCGUGGUGUCGGUGCUGACUCAGCGUUCACACGCUCAGAACUGUUUUACAUUUGUGUGAAAGUAAUGUGAAUAAUAAAAAGGUUUACAGUGUCUUCUUCUGUUGUUGUUGUUGUUUGGUGCAUUAUCUCAGCGAGAACAGUGUCCAGAUAAUAAGCCAGGAAACCUGUGUGUGGUUAAACACUCCUCCACUGCCGCUGCAGUCGCCACUGAGCCUCUAAUUUGUGACAGAUUAA